Molecule: long non-coding RNA, 75 nt
Organism: Etheostoma cragini (Arkansas darter)
Lineage: Eukaryota; Metazoa; Chordata; Actinopteri; Perciformes; Percidae
Exons: 3
Source: RefSeq, a predicted model, not a curated record
CUGCACUAACUCUGAUGACCCCCUAGAGGUCCUGGACACCCUGUUGAAAAUCCCUGUUCUGGAUGGUAAUGAGAG